GAUGAACGCUAGCUACAGGCUUAACACAUGCAAGUCGAGGGGAAACGGCAUUUAGUGCUUGCACCGAAUGGACGUCGACCGGCGCACGGGUGAGUAACGCGUAUCCAACCUACCCAUUACUGUGGGAUAACCUGCCGAAAGGCAGACUAAUACCGCAUAGUCUUCGAUGACGGCAUCAGAUUUGAAGUAAAGAUUUAUCGGUAAUGGAUGGGGAUGCGUCUGAUUAGCUUGUUGGCGGGGUAACGGCCCACCAAGGCAACGACCAGUAGGGGUUCUGAGAGGAAGGUCCCCCACAUUGGAACUGAGACACGGUCCAAACUCCUACGGGAGGCAGCAGUGAGGAAUAUUGGUCAAUGGACGGAAGUCUGAACCAGCCAAGUAGCGUGCAGGAUGACGGCCCUAUGGGUUGUAAACUGCUUUUGUAUGGGGAUAAAGUCAAUCACGUGUGAUUGUUUGCAGGUACCAUACGAAUAAGGACCGGCUAAUUCCGUGCCAGCAGCCGCGGUAAUACGGAAGGUUCGGGCGUUAUCCGGAUUUAUUGGGUUUAAAGGGAGCGUAGGCCGGAGAUUAAGUGUGUUGUGAAAUGUAGACGCUCAACGUCUGACUUGCAGCGCAUACUGGUUUCCUUGAGUACGCACAACGUUGGCGGAAUUCGUCGUGUAGCGGUGAAAUGCUUAGAUAUGACGAAGAACUCCGAUUGCGAAGGCAGCUGACGGGAGCGCAACUGACGCUGAAGCUCGAAGGUGCGGGUAUCGAACAGG
This 761-nucleotide ribosomal RNA is filed under the name Prevotella melaninogenica. RNAcentral describes it as "bacterial SSU rRNA". It matches the Rfam family "Bacterial small subunit ribosomal RNA", at positions 28 to 776 of the family's 1533-position model. The record is from RNAcentral. Lineage: Bacteria; Pseudomonadati; Bacteroidota; Bacteroidia; Bacteroidales; Prevotellaceae.